Molecule: ribosomal RNA, 120 nt
Filed under: Vibrio alginolyticus
Lineage: Bacteria; Pseudomonadati; Pseudomonadota; Gammaproteobacteria; Vibrionales; Vibrionaceae
Also listed under: 1 other name
Description: partial 16S ribosomal RNA
Rfam family: Bacterial small subunit ribosomal RNA
Source: RNAcentral
GCUGCAAAAGAAGUAGGUAGUUUAACCUUCGGGGGGACGCUUACCACUUUGUGGUUCAUGACUGGGGUGAAGUCGUAACAAGGUAGCGCUAGGGGAACCUGGCGCUGGAUCACCUCCUUA